Gossypium arboreum is the source of this 105-nucleotide non-coding RNA. NCBI's taxonomy places the organism in Eukaryota, Viridiplantae, Streptophyta, Magnoliopsida, Malvales, Malvaceae. The record is from Rfam.
AAAUUGUGGUGUGGGCAUUUUUGAAUCUGUAUCUUAAAAUGCUUCUAUGCUUCAUGAAAGCUUCCCCCUCUCAUUGUUUGAACAUAUAAAUUUCUCUUCUUAGCU